AGCUGGAAAAGGAUAUCACUGCCUGCUUUGUCGAAUGAUAGACAAGGAUAGCAACACCAAUGUUAAUCAAAUACUGCCAUUAUAACGUAGACCUCACUAUGAAGGCAGGUCUUCGGAUUUACCAUAGCGUGUGGAGUCGCUCCAGGGUAUUGUACCCUCUCAGCUAUCUAGCUCCUCUUAGCUAGUGAUACAAUUGUGUUAUUCGUGAUAAAAUAUGUUUACUCGAGUCUUGUAAAUUCUCACAUAUCAGUGACAGUGACCGGCACAGUGAAAAUAUAAUAACCAUGAUAUCUGAUUGGACAGUUCACACUCAGCACGGCCUAACGAGAAUGAAUAGUUCCAUUUGAAUUUACUGGGAUAAUAUUCUCACUGUACCGGGCAAUUGCACUAUCACUGGUGUGUGGCAAUUCAGCUUUAGAGGAUAAGAUGAUCGAUUACUUGUACACUUUAUGCGUAGACUCCGCAUAAUAUAAUUCCCAAAUUGAUGAUUGAUUGGGAAAUCAAUCUCAAAUGAGGUUGAUUAUUCCCUGCUGCAUUGAUUGGGAUAUCAAUCUCAAAUGAGGUUGAUUAUUCCCUGCUGCAUUGAUUGGGAUAUCAAUCUCAAAUGAGAUUGAUUCAAUCUGUUACAAUCUCAUCAAAUUCACUCACACUAUCACCAAGAAUGUUCACAAUAAAUAACAAUAGCCCAAUAGUAAUUAUCCUCAUUGAUCAAUAUAUCAAAACAAUCACUUGAAUAAAACUUAAAAACUGAAACAGAACCCUGAAAAAUAUACCACUUGAACAGUUCUCAAUUGAUAACAAAUUCACUUAAACUUUGAACGUCCAUCCAAGAGAAAUGCACAUGAUUCUCAACUCUCAAGUUAGCUUGUGAUACAUGAAUGUUUCCUUGAUAGUCUCACCCUCGAGUUAUAUUAUAUACUUAGGCUCAACUCACA
This is a long non-coding RNA of Nilaparvata lugens (brown planthopper), 935 nucleotides long. RefSeq lists it as uncharacterized. The transcript has 2 exons. The record is from RefSeq and is a predicted model, not a curated record. Lineage: Eukaryota; Metazoa; Arthropoda; Insecta; Hemiptera; Delphacidae.